RNAcentral lists this ribosomal RNA (484 nucleotides) under uncultured bacterium. RNAcentral describes it as "partial 16S ribosomal RNA". It matches the Rfam family "Bacterial small subunit ribosomal RNA", at positions 30 to 507 of the family's 1533-position model. The record is from RNAcentral.
AUUGAACGCUGGCGGCAGGCCUAACACAUGCAAGUCGAGCGGAUGAAGGGAGCUUGCUCCUGGAUUCAGCGGCGGACGGGUGAGUAAUGCCUAGGAAUCUGCCUGGUAGUGGGGGAUAACGUCCGGAAACGGGCGCUAAUACCGCAUACGUCCUGAGGGAGAAAGUGGGGGAUCUUCGGACCUCACGCUAUCAGAUGAGCCUAGGUCGGAUUAGCUAGUUGGUGGGGUAAAGGCCUACCAAGGCGACGAUCCGUAACUGGUCUGAGAGGAUGAUCAGUCACACUGGAACUGAGACACGGUCCAGACUCCUACGGGAGGAAGCAGUGGGGAAUAUUGGACAAUGGGCGAAAGCCUGAUCCAGCCAUGCCGCGUGUGUGAAGAAGGUCUUCGGAUUGUAAAGCACUUUAAGUUGGGAGGAAGGGCAGUAAGUUAAUACCUUGCUGUUUUGACGUUACCAACAGAAUAAGCACCGGCUAACUUCGUG